This 460-nucleotide ribosomal RNA is filed under the name uncultured bacterium. RNAcentral describes it as "partial 16S ribosomal RNA". It matches the Rfam family "Bacterial small subunit ribosomal RNA", at positions 338 to 795 of the family's 1533-position model. The record is from RNAcentral.
CCUACGGGUGGCAGCAGUGAGGAAUAUUGGUCAAUGGACGAGAGUCUGAACCAGCCAAGUAGCGUGAAGGAUGACUGCCCUAUGGGUUGUAAACUUCUUUUAUAUGGGAAUAAAAUGUUCCACGUGUGGGAUUUUGUAUGUACCAUAUGAAUAAGGAUCGGCUAACUCCGUGCCAGCAGCCGCGGUAAUACGGAGGAUCCGAGCGUUAUCCGGAUUUAUUGGGUUUAAAGGGAGCGUAGGUGGAUUGUUAAGUCAGUUGUGAAAGUUUGCGGCUCAACCGUAAAAUUGCAGUUGAAACUGGCAGUCUUGAGUACAGUAGAGGUGGGCGGAAUUCGUGGUGUAGCGGUGAAAUGCUUAGAUAUCACGAAGAACUCCGAUUGCGAAGGCAGUUCACUGGACUGCAACUGACACUGAGGCUCGAAAGUGUGGGUAUCAAACAGGAUUAGAUACUCGUGUAGUC